Molecule: ribosomal RNA, 432 nt
Filed under: uncultured bacterium
Lineage: Bacteria
Description: partial 16S ribosomal RNA
Rfam family: Bacterial small subunit ribosomal RNA
Source: RNAcentral
AACGAACGCUGGCGGCAUGCCUAACACAUGCAAGUCGAACGAGACCUUCGGGUCUAGUGGCGCACGGGUGCGUAACGCGUGGGAACCUGCCCUUAGGUUCGGAAUAACUCCCCGAAAGGGGUGCUAAUACCGGAUAAUGUCUUCGGACCAAAGAUUUAUCGCCUUUGGAUGGGCCCGCGUUGGAUUAGCUAGUUGGUAGGGUAAAAGCCUACCAAGGCGACGAUCCAUAGCUGGUCUGAGAGGAUGAUCAGCCACACUGGGACUGAGACACGGCCCAGACUCCUACGGGAGGCAGCAGUGGGGAAUAUGGGACAAUGGGCGAAAGCCUGAUCCAGCAAGGCCGCGGGAGUGAUGAAGGCCUUAGGGUGGUAAAGCUCUUUUACCCGGGAUGAUAAUGACAGUACCGGGAGAAUAAGCUCCGGCUAACUCCGU